UCUAAAAGAAUUUGGUAGGAUUCGUAAUAUUUCUUCCUUAGGUGUUUGAAAGAAUUCACUAGGGAAACCAUCUGGACCUCGAGUUCUCUUUGUGGGGAAUUAUUCUGAGAAAGUUUAAGGUCUUUGAUAGAUAUAAACCUAUUUAGAUGUUUUAUUUCCUCUUAUGUCAUUUUCUAUAAGUUAUACUUUUUAAGGAAUUUGUCCAUUUCAAUUUGUCCUUUAUUGAUAAAUUGUCAAUAAAUUUGUUAAAUUUAUUGGCAUACAGGUGUUUAUAAUACCUCUUUAUUAUACUUUUAAUGCCUGUAGGAUCUAUAAUGAUCUCUUCUCUUUCAUUAUUGAUAUUAUUAAUUUAUGUUUUCUCUUUUUCUGAGGUGUUAUAGCCAGGGAUUUAUUAAUUCUAUUAAUAUUUUCAAAGGCCUACCUAGUUGGGUAUUAUCAUGUUCUCCAUUGUUUUUGUCCCCUCCUGUUUCACUUAUUUCUGCUCCUACCUCUACCGUUUAAUUUCUUUCAGUUACUGUGGGUUUCACGUGCUCAUUUUUUCUCUAGUUUCUUAAAGUAGGAAAUUAGAUCAUUGAUUUAAAUCACUUCCUUUCUAAAAUAAACAUUUUGGAGUUAUAAAUUUCCUUCUAAGCACAGCUUCAACUACAUUCCAUGAAAUUUUAUAUGUAGUAUUUUCAUUUUCAUUCAGCUUGAGUUAUUUCUCUUUUCCACUGUGAUUUCUUCAUUGGCAUUUCCGUUUUUUUAAGUUCAUCAUUUAACAUAAAUAUUUGUUGUUUUUCUUGAGCUCUUAUUCUUAUUGAUUUCAAAUGCAAUUCCAUUGUGGCCAUUAGACAGAUUCUGUAAUAUUUCAAUCUUUGAAAUUGAUUAAGUGUUGUUUUAUGGCUCAGCAUGUGAAUUACUGUGAUAAGCAUUCCAUAUAUGCCUGAAAAAAAACAUGGAUUUUGCAGUGUUGAAUGGAGUUUCCAUAAAUGUCGAUUAAGUAAUUUAGAUCCUAUAACUUAGAUUUAUAAUUUAAAUAUAUAGAUUUAUAAAUGUAUCGAUUUAUAAUCAUCAUUUAUUAUUUGGAUCCUAUAUCUUUACUGACUUUUUGUCUCAUUUUUAUAAAUUAUUGAAAACAGAAUUUUACUAUGAAACUGCAUUUCUCUCUCUUAUUUUUCUGGUGCUUGUAUUUUGAAUCUCUCUUACUAAGUAUACAAAAACUUGUAUCUUGCUGAUGUAGCUUCUUAUUAUCAUAAAAUGCCCUUCUUUACUUUUGGGAAUAUGCUUUGUCUUAAAGUCUAUUUUGUCUAGUUAUACUAUAACUACUCCAAUUUUUAAUAACUACUGUUUCCAUACACACACACAAAAUUAAAUAUAUAUAAAUCUAAAGUGUAUUUCUUAAGACAACAUUUGUUUGACCUUACUUUUUUAUCAAGUCCAACAACCUACACCUUUUCAUUGGUGUUUUAGUCAUUUAUAUUUCUAUCAAGUAUCAAUAUGGUUUAAUUUAGGUCUAUCAUUUUACUAGUUAUUUUCUAUUUGUCUUGCCUGUUUUUGGUUUCUCAGUUUUCCCUUUCUUGCCUUCUUAUAGGUUAACCACGGUUUUUUUGGCAUUCUAUUUUAAUCCCUGUAUAGGCUUUUUAACUAUAUUCUUUACAUUUUUUUAGUGAUUGCUCUAGAGAUUACAAUGUAUAUCUAUAGUUUAUUACAGAGAUUUAUUUAUAUUUAUUAUAUCACUUCUUGUAAAAUAUAGGGAUCUUACAAUAUUGUAGUUUCAUCCCCCCAUGUACUAUCGCUUUCAUAUAUACUACAUCUGCAUUCAUGACAGAAUAGUUUUAUAAUUUGUAUUUUUAAAAAUUAUUCUGUCUUCUUUAAAAAUUAAGAGAAGAAAAAUAUCAAUAGAGCAUUUACCCACCUAUUUACCAUUUCCAGUGACAUUCACUAAAUCUUCUAAAUCCAAUUACCACCUGUUAUUUCUCUUUAAUCUAAAGCACUUCCUUUAGUAUUUAUUAGUGUGAGUAUGCUGCACAUGAAAUUUCCUAGUGCUUGUUUAUCCAAAAUGUUUUUCACAUUGAUUGUAAAAAUUGUAUGAAUAUGCUUUAUUUAACUCAAUACAUCUAAAAUAUCAUUUUAGAUAUUAACAUGCACUCAGUGUAAUAAGAUUAUUACUGGUAUACUUUCUUUACCUUAUUUUUAUUUAUGCCAAGUCUUUGAAAUUUGCUGUGUAUUUUAUGCUUACAUCUCAAUAGCUCGAUACUUUACAUCUCAAUAUUUAAGUGCUCAAUAGUUUUCACCACUGGCCACUGAACUAGACAGCCCGAUCCUGAAAUAUCUCUUUGCCUUCAAUGUUGAAGACUAGCUUCAUGGAUGUAGAAUUCUAGGAUGAUAUUUUUUAAAGAUUUAUUUUUGUUUGUUUGAGAGAGAGAGAAUAUGAGCAGGGUGAGGGGCAAAGUGAGAGGGAGAGAGAAUCUCAAGCAAACUCAGAACUAAGUGUGGAGCCCAACAUGGGACUCAAUCUCAUGACCCUGAGAUCAUGAUCUGAGCCAAAACCAAGAGUUGUACUCUUAACUGAGCCACCAAGCACCCUCAUAACAGUUUUUAUUGCAUCACUUUAAAAAUGUCGUUCCAGGGAUCCCUGGGUGGCUCAGUGGUUUCACACCUGCCUUUGGCCCAGGGUGCAAUCCUGGGGUCCCGGGAUCGAGUCCUGCAUCAGGCUCCUGGCAUGGAGCCUGCUUCUCCCUCUGCCUGUGUCUCUGCCUCUCUCUCUCUCUCUCUCUCUCUAUGUCUAUCAUAAAUAAAUAAAAAUAAAUCUUUAAAAAAAAUGUCAUUCCACUAUCUUCUGGUCUCUAUCAUUUCUGGUAAGAGAAAUUUACUGCUGUAAAUAAAGUGUAUGAUCCUUGCCUUUGUGUAACAUGCCAUUUUUCUCUAAUUACUUUUUAAUAUUUUAUAUUUAUAUUUCAGUAACUUAACUACCAUAUGCCCACAUGUGAGGGUUUUUCCCACACACACACAUGCUCAGGAUUCUUUGAGAUUGUUGGAUUUGUAACUUGAUGUCUUUAAUCCAAUUUGGGACAUUAUUAACCAUGAUUUCUUCAAAUAUAUUUUUCUGUUCCAUUAUCUUUCUCAUCUCUUUUUGGAACUCUAAUCACCAUAUAUUAGAUGACUCAAUGUUUCUCCACAGGUUUUGGAGGCUCUGCUGAUUUUCCUCAAUGCUCUUUUAUUUUUCAGAAUUGAUCAUUUCUAUUGAUUUAUUGUCACAUUCACUGAUUCUUCUGCUAUCUAUAUUCCUUUUUAAGUCAAUUCUGUGAAUUUUCAAUUUCUCUUAUUGAAUAUUCAAUAAUCUAUAUUUAUAGUUCUUUGCCAGAGUUGCCACCUAUUCAUUUAUUAUGCAUUUGUUUUUCAUCAGAUUCUAGUACACACUUUAUUGGUGCUUUAAAGUAUUUGUCUGCUCAUUGCAAUAUCUCAUUCAUUCAGAAUUGGUUAUUUGCUGCUGCUUCUUUUUUCUGGAUUAUGAGUCACAUUUUCUUGUUUCUCCAUGUAUCUAGUUUUUUGAAUUAUUAUUAAAUUCAAGUCACUCUGAAUAAAACAUUGUAGUCUCUGGAUUCCUUAUGUUGCUCUGGACAAUAAUUUUUAUUUUAGAAAGCAGUUAAUUAGCUCAAACUCCAUGCUCUGCAGCAGACAACAGCUAACAUCUUUGUUUAAGUACAUGAUGCCUUUUACCAGGUGUUCUGGGAUCUCCCACACACAACCAUAUUUAGCAGUUAGCCUAUCAUUUAGGUGGAUUUUAUUUAUUAAUUUUUUUUUAAGAUUUUGUUUCCUUAUUCGUGAGAGACACAGAGAGAGAGGCAGAGGGAAAAGUAGGCUCCCUGAAAGGAGCUAGAUUUGGGACUCAAUCCCGGGACUUCAGGAUCACGCCCUGGGCCGAAGGCAGGCACUCAACUGCUGAGCCACCCGGGUGUCCCUAUUUGGGUGGAUUUUAAAUGUAGAUUUGGGGCACUCUCUCUUUCAGGAUUUUCCCUCUAAUUUUCUAGAUGAUCUGACAGCUCCAAAUUCUCUCUCCUAACAUCUCAGCCCAGAAACACUACAAGGUUUCUCCUGUAUAAAGCCACAGAUUAUAGGGUACCAGACUCUGAAGCCAAGCCAAGUAGAGCAGUAUAUUGAAAAGGAUCGGAGAACUCAUCUAAACUUGCCACUCCCCUCCCCAAAAAGGUAACCACAACCAUCUUCCACAGACAAUACUUUGAAGCUAAUGUUGAUUGCAUCCCCUAAAAUUCAUUUGGGGGAAAAAACUGAUAAACUGAGAAUCUUCAAAUAAUCUAUUUCCAAAACAAAAUGUCCUUCUUUCCCCCUUCCCUUACCUGGUGCAGAACAAAUCAACCUUUUUUACUGUACUAUUCUGUUAACAAUAUUGUAACCUGGCUUGAUUUUAUUAGAGCCUAAACCUGGGAAAGAGUCAACCAUGUUUACUAGCCCAGCUAAUCAUGACAAUGUGUCCAAGCUUUAUGAAUAUUUGUCUUUCUUUUCUUCCAUGUAGGGAAAUAUAAAUUUAAAAUGAGAGUAAAGUAUUUAAUAUUUAAUCCUGAGAUUUAAAAGGAAGCUAGCUAUCAUUGCUGUUUCUUGAUGAAAAUAAUAUGGUAAGAAUUUUUUUAAAUAUAGAAGAAAAACACUCACAAUGAAAUACCACUAUACUUCACCAGCUUGACAAUAAAAGUGUCAGUGAGAUGUGGAAUAUUUGUGAUUUUCAUCAUUUCAGGCUACAGAAAAUGGGACUGAUGGGUCAGGCUGUCCCGUUUCUCACACUAACCUAGAAGUGCUAGAGACACGAAGGCAGGAGGUGCACUGAGAAGUUGGUGGAUGUGAAAAUUGCCACAGUGUUUAGGAGAAUAUUUUGACAUCCACUGGCAAUGAUAAAAUUUACGAACAUCCCACAUCUCCCCAACACUUAACACUGUCAAUCUUGUCAACCUGUAAUGUUGAAGGCAGACAUACUCUUCAAUCCAACCAUGUCACUCCUCAUUUGUUCUCCAAAUAAUCUCAUGCAUAUGUACAGCAAGACCCAUGGGAAGAACUUUUUUUGCAGUGUUUUUGUGCAAUAGCCAAAACUUGAAAACAGCACAGAGUGAUCAAUGGAAGAGUGAAUAAGUACGUUUUGAUUAUGUUCCUACAAGGGAAAACUAUACAUACAUAAAAUGGAGCCAUAUAAACUGAAAAACAAACUGUAGUGACAUGCAACAGUAUGGAUGAACUUCACAACCAUAAUGUUAGGCCAGAAGCAAGGCACAAAAGAAUAGAGACUACAUGAUUUAUUAAAAUAAAGUCCCACAAACAUUAUAUGUUCUCAUUCAUUUGGGGAAUAUAAAUAAUAGUGAAAGGGAAUAUAAGGGAAGGGAGAAGAAAUGUGUGGGAAAUAUCAGAAAGGGAGACAGAACGUAAAGACUGCUAACUCUGGGAAACGAACUAGGGGUGUUGGAAGGGGAGGAGGGCGGGGGGUGGGAGUGAAUGGGUGACGGGCACUGGGGGUUAUUCUGUAUGUUAGUAAAUUGAACACCAAUAAAAAAAAUGCAAAUAUAAAAUAAAUAAAUAAAUAAAAUAUAAAAAUUAUUUCCCCCCCCCAAAAAAAAAUAAAAUAAAAUAAAAUAAAAUAAAGUCCCAAAUAGACCUUUCUAUACUAUAUGGUUUAGGGAUGCACAUAUAGGUGGCAAAACAAUAAAGAAAAGCAUGAAAAUAAUUACUACAUGUCAAAGAAAUCGGGGAGGAGAAGGAAGCAAUAUGAUAAGGGUGGUAGAUCCACAUAUUUUUGCUUAUAGUGAUUGAAUAAUCUUCCUUUACACCUAGUACACUUUUUCAUAUAUAUCGCUUAUUUCACAAUAGUAUCUUUAAAAUAUAAUAAAAUUAAGGAAUAUUAAUGGCCUGAAGGCCACUAAAUAUCUUAUACUUUAGCACUUUCAGGACUUUAAGAAAGCUUUGAAAUACACCUACUUGGCACCAUCACUACCCUCUACCAGCACCACAGUGUUUUUCUGAUUGUUUAAAAAUUCUAAAUAAGUCCCUAUUACAUACAUUUACAUGUUAGAAUGUUUUAUCCAAAUGCAUGUCAUAAAUAAUUGAUGAGAACCAGUGAAGGUAGCUAUAGAAAGUCUUUAAAAUACUAAGGAUUUCUCCUCCUCCUCCUCCUCCUCCUCUUCUCCCUCUUCUCCUCCUCCUCCUCACCUUUAUUGGCUUGGCAUUAAUAUAAAUUAUCUCAAAGUCCAUUGUAUUUUCAGAGCAGGUUCAGAGGGAAGACAUUCCCACUUUUUCUCAUGCCAACCAUUGGGCCCUCUACUGCAGGUUGAGACAACACCUCCUGCUGUGGGGGAGACUACCACCCCGGGGUCUUUGGUAGCUGUGUACUCAGGGCAUACCCCAGCUGGCCCAAGUUUCAAAUUUCCUCAGACUCUGGGAUUUCAAAGAUCCAUCCCAUUAUGCUUCACACCCACCUGAAUGAUAAUUUCUGAUGAGAAGUUCCCACAGGACUCAGACUCUGGGCUCCCGCACCCCGAUCUCAUGCUCCAGUCCUUCCACCCUGUUCUCCCAACCUUGCUCCAGGACUCUGCAAUCAUGCCUGCCAACAGCAAGUUUCCCACCUCCCCACACAUUCUGCUUCUGCUCCAACCACAGCUGGUUGUGGUCUCAGGACAUCUGUUCUCACAACCCACCCCUCACCUGACUCCAUGCUUCACAGCCACUUCCUUGCCUCCCCUUCUUCUGUAAAAAAAAAAAAAACAAAAGAUUUCUUCAAGGACACAAGAUCAAACUCUGUCAUCCUUUCCUAUUCUGUAGCUCUCCCUCAUUCAUGGCCAACCCUAUCAUCUCGCUCCUCCCUGUCUUCUCCAACACCAGUUUGGACAGGGGUUCUCCAUAGCGGCACUUAUUGGCACUUGUGGACAAAUAAUUUGCAUAGGGCUGUUGUGUGCAUCGUAGGAUGUGUGGCACCAUCCUUGGAUUCUGCCCACUAGAUACCAAGAGCCCUUCUAGCUGGGACAAUCAAAAAUCUUUCCAGGGAUCCAUGGGUGGCGCAGCGGUUUGGCGCCUGCCUUUGGCCCAGGGCGCGAUACUGGAGACUCGGGAUCGAGUCCCACGUCGGGCUCCCGGUGCAUGGAGCCUGCUUCUCCCUCUGCCGGUGUCUCUGCCUCUCUCUCUCUCUCUCUGUGUGACUAUCAUAAAUAAAUAAAAAAUUUUUUUAAAAAAUCUUUCCAGAUGGUACCAGAGGCCACCUGAGGGAUGACACGUCCCAUAAAGAAUCACUGCUUUAAAUGAUCCAUCUCCUAUCUGAACUUUUAAUGCCUUGACCCUCUUAACUCAAACAGUCACACCCUCCACCAACAUUAGACGCCUCUCACAGGGUAGGCAUUAGAGCAUACCACCUCCCCAGCCUCAGUCUGGAACAUGCCGCACUGCCCGCCUCAUCCUUGCUUCUGGUGCCCUGCCCAGACCCGGCCGAGUCUCUGCAUUGCACUCUCACCACCACCCUGUAUCCUCAGUCCCUCCUCCUCCAGCGUUGACUCUGAGAUUUCACUACCACUGUUACUCACACCCCUUGCUCUCCUCUCUGGAUUCAUUAAUUCCAAUUUUGCUUACCUGGAAAAUCCCUAACUCUUGUCAAGCCCAACUAUCUGCUUGUGUGGUACCUGCAUCUGAGCAGCUGAAAGUCGUUAAAGCACAUUCCUCAAUCUGCUGUCAAGCAUGUGGCCAGUGGUCUCACAGGAACACUCAUGACACUGGAAAGUGCUGCUCAGCUCCCUAGGAAACCCACACAUCACUGACAGCCACUCCCUGCCUCCUCCUCUCUUUCAACCUUCCAGGUACCACUUCCUCCAAAAUAAGUGGUCCAUAAACCAUCCUGCAUCCCUCCUAUCUGCCAACCCCCCCCCAAUCUACCUGCAUCCAUCCCCAUGUCCCCUGUCUCUUCUGCUUCACAAACAGGGUCUAAGACCAACCCUCAACAUGUACCCACCCGCUCACACCCUACAAUCACAUUUCCCUCUCCCAUGGUGCAGGGUGUCUCUUUUCUACCAGAUAAUUCCCCUUAUCAGAUGAAUGUUCCUUGGUAACACUCAACUUAGAAACAAACAAACAAAACACAACCCGAGUCCCUUCUGCACUGCACGCUUCUCAGUGCUGUCCGCAGACUGCCUACUGGCUGUGCACAACCUGCUGACCUUCCCAGCCUCUUGGCUCCAGCCCACUGG
This 8207-nucleotide long non-coding RNA is filed under the name Canis lupus familiaris (dog). Its description in RNAcentral is "lncRNA (ENSCAFG00845013297.1)". The record is from RNAcentral. Lineage: Eukaryota; Metazoa; Chordata; Mammalia; Carnivora; Canidae.